Molecule: ribosomal RNA, 240 nt
Filed under: uncultured bacterium
Lineage: Bacteria
Description: partial 16S ribosomal RNA
Rfam family: Bacterial small subunit ribosomal RNA
Source: RNAcentral
GAUCCUGGCUCAGGAUGAACGCUAGCUACAGGCUUAACACAUGCAAGUCGAGGUGCAGCAUUUCAGUUUGCUUGCAAACUGGAGAUGGCGACCAGCGCACGGGUGAGUAACACGUAUCCAACCUGCCGAUAACUCGGGGAUAGCCUUUCGAAAGAAAGAUUAAUACCCGAUGGCAUAAUUAGACCGCAUGGUCUUAUUAUUAAAGAAUUUCGGUUAUCGAUGGGGAUGCGUUCCAUUAGG